GGUUAAGUGAAUAAGGGCGCACGGUGGAUGCCUUGGCACUAGGAGCCGAUGAAGGACGGGACUAACGCCGAUAUGCUUUGGGGAGCUGUAAGUAAGCUAUGAUCCAGAGAUUUCCGAAUGGGGAAACCCAACAUCUUUGAUAGGAUGUUACGAAUAGGUGAAUUCAUAGCCUACUCGAGGUAGACGCAGAGAACUGAAACAUCUAAGUACCUGCAGGAAGAGAAAGAAAAUUCGAUUCCCUGAGUAGCGGCGAGCGAAACGGGAAAAGCCCAAACCAAGAGGCUUGCCUCUUGGGGUUGUAGGACUCCAAUCUGGUAGUUUUUUCAGAUAGCCGAAAUACCUGGAAAGGUAUGUCAAAGAGGGUAAAAACCCCGUAGGCGAAAUUUGGAAGACACCUAGGAGGAUCCUGAGUACGGCGGAACACGAGGAAUUCCGUCGGAAUCCGGGAGGACCAUCUCCCAAGGCUAAAUACUCCCUAGUGACCGAUAGUGAACCAGUACCGUGAGGGAAAGGUGAAAAGCACCCCGGAAGGGGAGUGAAAUAGAUCCUGAAACCGUGUGCCUACAACAAGUUAGAGCCCGUUAAUGGGUGAUAGCGUGCCUUUUGUAGAAUGAACCGGCGAGUUACGAUUGCAUGCGAGGUUAAGUUGAAGAGACGGAGCCGUAGCGAAAGCGAGUCUGAAUAGGGCGAAUGAGUAUGUAGUCGUAGACCCGAAACCAUGUGAUCUACCCAUGUCCAGGUUGAAGGUGCGGUAAAACGCACUGGAGGACCGAACCCACGUACGUUGAAAAGUGCGGGGAUGAGGUGUGGGUAGCGGAGAAAUUCCAAUAGAAAUUGGAGAUAGAUGGUUCUCUCCGAAAUAGCUUUAGGGCUAGCGUCGAAGUUGAGAAUGAUGGAGGUAGAGCACUGUUUGGACUAGGGGCCCAUCUCGGGUUACCGAAUUCAGAUAAACUCCGAAUGCCAUUCAUUCAUAUUCGGCAGUCAGACUGUGAGUGAUAAGAUCCAUAGUCGAAAGGGAAACAGCCCAGACCACCAGCUAAGGUCCCCAAAUAUAUGUUAAGUGGAAAAGGAUGUGGGGUUGCACAGACAACUAGGAUGUUGGCUCAGAAGCAGCCAUCAUUUAAAGAGUGCGUAAUAGCUCACUAGUCGAGUGACCCUGCGCCGAAAAUGUACCGGGGCUAAACAUAUUACCGAAGCUGUGGAUUGUACCUUUGGGUACAAUGGUAGGAGAGCGUUCUAAGGGCGUUGAAGGUAGAUCGUGAGGACUGCUGGAGCGCUUAGAAGUGAGAAUGCCGGUAUGAGUAGCGAAAGACAGGUGAGAAUCCUGUCCACCGAAUGACUAAGGUUUCCUGGGGAAGGCUCGUCCGCCCAGGGUUAGUCGGGACCUAAGCCGAGGCCGAUAGGCGUAGGCGAUGGACAACAGGUUGAUAUUCCUGUACCCGUUCGCUUUGUUUGAGCAAUGGAGGGACGCAGGAGGCUAAGAAGUGCAGACUGAUGGAUAUGUCUGUUCAAGCAGUAAGUCUUGUGAUGAGUCAAAUGCUUAUCACUAUACGGACAAGCUGUGAUGAGGAGGGAACUAAUAGUACCGAAGCUUCUGAUGUCACACUGCCAAGAAAAGCUUCUAGUGAGAAACGAACGGCCCGUACCGCAAACCGACACAGGUAGUCGAGGAGAGAAUCCUAAGGUGUGCGAGAGAACUCUCGUUAAGGAACUCGGCAAAAUGACCCCGUAACUUCGGGAGAAGGGGUGCUGCUCGUAAGAGCAGCCGCAGUGAAUAGGCCCAAGCGACUGUUUAUCAAAAACACAGGUCUCUGCAAAAUCGAUAGAUGACGUAUAGGGGCUGACGCCUGCCCGGUGCUGGAAGGUUAAGAGGAGUGCUUAGCGCAAGCGAAGGUACGAAUUGAAGCCCCAGUAAACGGCGGCCGUAACUAUAACGGUCCUAAGGUAGCGAAAUUCCUUGUCGGGUAAGUUCCGACCCGCACGAAAGGCGUAACGAUUUGGGCACUGUCUCAACGAGAGACUCGGUGAAAUUUUAGUACCUGUGAAGAUGCAGGUUACCCGCGACAGGACGGAAAGACCCCAUGGAGCUUUACUGUAGUUUGAUAUUGAGUGUCUGUACCGCAUGUACAGGAUAGGUAGGAGCCGUAGAAGUCGGGACGCUAGUUUCGACGGAGGCCUGGUGGGAUACUACCCUUGCGUUAUGGCCACUCUAACCCGCAGCCCUGAUCGGGCUGGGAGACAGUGUCAGAUGGGCAGUUUGACUGGGGCGGUCCCUCCUAAAAGGUAACGGAGGCGCCCAAAGGUUCCCUCAGAAUGGUUGGAAAUCAUUCGCAGAGUGUAAAGGCAGAAGGGAGCUUGACUGCGAGACUUACAAGUCGAGCAGAGACGAAAGUCGGGCUUAGUGAUCCGGUGGUUCCGCAUGGAAGGGCCAUCGCUCAACGGAUAAAAGCUACCCUGGGGAUAACAGGCUUAUCUCCCCCAAGAGUCCACAUCGACGGGGAGGUUUGGCACCUCGAUGUCGGCUCGUCGCAUCCUGGGGCUGUAGUCGGUCCCAAGGGUUGGGCUGUUCGCCCAUUAAAGCGGCACGGAGCUGGGUUCAGAACGUCGUGAGACAGUUCGGUCCCUAUCCGUCGCGGGCGUUGGAAAUUUGAGAGGAGCUGUCCUUAGUACGAGAGGACCGGGAUGGACUUACCGCUGGUGUACCAGUUGUCUCGCCAGAGGCAUGCGCUGGGUAGCUAUGUAGGGAAGGGAUAAACGCUGAAAGCAUCUAAGUGUGAAGCCCACCUCAAGAUGAGAUUUCCCAUUCUUUUAAAGAAGUAAGAUCCCUGAGAGAUGAUCAGGUAGAUAGGUCAGAAGUGGAAGGCCAGUGAUGGUUGGAGCGGACUGAUACUAAUCGAUCGAGGACUUAACCAA
Molecule: ribosomal RNA, 2913 nt
Filed under: Enterococcus asini
Lineage: Bacteria; Bacillati; Bacillota; Bacilli; Lactobacillales; Enterococcaceae
Description: bacterial LSU rRNA
Rfam family: Bacterial large subunit ribosomal RNA
Source: RNAcentral